UACGGAGGGUGCAAGCGUUAUCCGGAUUUAUUGGGUUUAAAGGGUGCGCAGGCGGGGCCUUAAGUCAGUGGUGAAAUCUCUUCGCUUAACGAAGAAACUGCCAUUGAUACUGAGGUUCUUGAAUCUAGUUGACGUUAGUGGAAUGUGUCAUGUAGCGGUGAAAUGCUUAGAUAUGACACAGAACACCGAUCGCGAAGGCAGCUAACGAAGCUAGUAUUGACGCUCAGGCACGACAGCAUGGGGAGCAAACAGG
RNAcentral lists this ribosomal RNA (253 nucleotides) under uncultured bacterium. RNAcentral describes it as "partial 16S ribosomal RNA". It matches the Rfam family "Bacterial small subunit ribosomal RNA", at positions 524 to 776 of the family's 1533-position model. RNAcentral also lists the same sequence under 1 other name. The record is from RNAcentral.